UCUAGGUUGUUCUAUAUUUCUUCGUAAGCAUGAACGGUAAGCGGCACCAACAUUCUCAUUACUAUUUGUUCUUUCAUAUAAGUUGUUUGAGCCUGGAUUCAGGGCCGGCCCAUGUGUCUGGCCAAGCUGGGCGACCGUUCCGGGCCUCUAAAUGCCAUAGGGCCCCCAUUUUUUAUUUAUUAUAUUAAUUAUAUAGAAUUAACCCAUUACUCAAGCCCAAUACUCUAGUCUCUUAUCAAAGGUCCACCCAAAAAGAAAGCGGGUGGAAGGAAAGAUGUAGCGACUGGGAGACUGGGAGUUGGCGUGCGAGAGAUGUCCGACUUCCAAGGCAGGCACAAUUAAUCUUCAACGAAACAAUCAAUUUCUAUGGAGAAUCCAAACGUUUUCUCCGGAUUCUAAGGCUGUUGUAGUCUUGUAUCCAGGAAUAUGAAUAUGACCUUCUGAUAAUCUGAUUGUGUGAUUGUGAAUCCGUGUAAAUUUAAAUUUUUGUUGCAACUGUGGGGCAGUGGGGCUUUUUCAAUUUGCUAUUGCUUAGAGGUUAUGCACAGGCUCACAGCAUUAGCAAUUCAACAUCAUUGAAAAAACUCUUCUUUUAUUAUUCGUUAAUUGUUAUCUGUUUGCUUGUUUGUUGCCUUUUAUCACUCUAUUGAAUAUGCAUCCUAGAAAGCAUAUGUCUGGAAGUGAAAAACGAAAGAAAAAACAAAAAAUUGAACAAGUUAA
This is a non-coding RNA of Lactuca sativa (garden lettuce), 720 nucleotides long. Lineage: Eukaryota; Viridiplantae; Streptophyta; Magnoliopsida; Asterales; Asteraceae. The record is from RefSeq and is a predicted model, not a curated record.